RNAcentral lists this unclassified non-coding RNA (241 nucleotides) under uncultured fungus. Its description in RNAcentral is "sequence contains ITS1". The record is from RNAcentral. Lineage: Eukaryota; Fungi.
CCAUAUAUGCUUGCUUGGAUGGAGCAAUCCGUUCUGCAACAAACCCCUUCUGUGUAUCUGUUCAAUGUUGCUUUCGCCGGCCUGUGGGUUAUCCAUUUCACGAGAGUGGAAGGAAACUCCCUUCGGUGCCUGAUCGAAAUUGGUCGGCUGGGGAGCUGCUGGCGAGAGACAUGCUUAAAACUCUGUGGUAUUACCAUUCAUGAGCAAUGUCUGAGCUUUAAUGCUAAACAUUAACUUGUUA